RNAcentral lists this non-coding RNA (24 nucleotides) under Arabidopsis thaliana (thale cress). Lineage: Eukaryota; Viridiplantae; Streptophyta; Magnoliopsida; Brassicales; Brassicaceae. The record is from RNAcentral.
GCUGGAGUAGUUUCAGGAUGGAUG